RNAcentral lists this non-coding RNA (22 nucleotides) under Mus musculus (house mouse). The record is from RNAcentral. Lineage: Eukaryota; Metazoa; Chordata; Mammalia; Rodentia; Muridae. RNAcentral also lists the same sequence under 1 other name.
UGAUUCAAUUUUAAGAAGGUGU